GCCGGGCUUCGGGUCUAUUGCUCACCGACGUGACGACGACGACCUAGAGAACGGCGGCGGCAGCGGCAAGUUCGGCGAGAAAUUGCGGCGGCGUGAGCGCGAGGUGGAGUGAGGGUGAGCAGGGGAAAUGGAGAGGGGAGAGCCCUCUUUAUAUUGGUGCGAGGGGGAUCUUAAAGCCGUGCUCUAAAUCGCGGAAUGAAGGCGAGGCAUAAAGACGGCGCUCGCAAGAUUCGCGGAUGGAGCUUGAAGACGACCUGACAGGUGGGUCCCACCUGUGAGUGUCCGUUGGCUUUGGGCGGCGGUGCUGGGCUAGGCUGGCUUGAUGCGCGCGCGCGGGGGCGGGCCGGGCCGGUCCGGUUUUAAUUUUUUUUUGUUCCUUUUCUUUUCUCCUUUUCUUUUUUGUUUUUCCUUUAUAUCUUUUGAUUUUGAACUCCAAAUGACCUCAAAUAAAUUUCAGAAAAUUUGUAAAAUCUUAUCCUUUAAUGCCAAAGCAUCUGGGACUUGGUUACCUCCAAAAGCAAAUUAUUUAGAAAUAGUUUUCCUUAAAUAGUUGCCUCUAGUGCAAUAAUAUUUAGGAAUAAAAUAGUUUUUCACCUCCAAAAUAAAUUUUAAAAAUUAUGGGGUAGCUUAUCUUAUUGCAUUAAACCCUUUUCUAUUGACAAAACCCCAUGGGUUGAAGAAUUCCAAAAAAAAAAAUGCAAAGGAAGACUAAAGCGGCAAAAGCUUACUAAUAAGAUUUUAAAUUUUGAAUCCUUGGUUUAAAAUGCUCAAAGUGCAUAGAUGGCAUGAUGCUCAUGAGUGCAAAUGCGUGAUGCAAAGUUCAGGAAAAUUGGGAUGUUACACAACAUAACAUCUGAUACUUCAAAUGUUGUCAUUGGCAUUUGCAAUAAUUAAAUUAAUGUGUUUCUUGGGCUCUAUUCAGAUAAACUUCUCAAAUUUACUUGCAGCGGAUUGAUCUCGUGACCUUUUAAUCUAAUUAUUUGAUUCAUGCUGUUACUAGCCGGUACAAUCUAUAUCUUGUCAUUUUUUAGAUUUCAGUUUUUUUUUCGAAAUGGAGGCAAAAGCUUUGCCUCAUCUCAUUAAUUAAGAAGAAGUUUCGCUUCCCGGUUAAUUAACGGAAAACCGGGCAAAAACCGUUUCAACGCUCCCAAGAUCCGUCACAGAUGACAAUCCUUAGGACACCACUAAGCCGACUUGCCUACCAAACAACGCACUCCACACGAGCUGUCGAGAAGAAAAACCGUCGUCAAGAUUGUUCGCAAUUGUCAUCGUCAUCACACAUCACUCCCCAAGCUGGCGACUCCGACUUCACCACAAAUGACCGUCGACGAAGCCCUCGCCGCGACAGUCGCUCGAAGCCCGCGUCGAUCUAUGCCAAACAAUUGGCCCACACACCGACGCCCAAGCAGAUAGCUGCACAUUGACCCCACCAAACACGAAGCACCGUCGCCACCAUGCCGCAAGAAACACUCAGCACGUCCACCACGGUGGCAUCGUCAUCGACACAGCCCUCAUAUCGGCGACUCCGACUUCACCACAAAUGGACACAGAAGAAGCUCCAUUGGCACUUC
This 1571-nucleotide long non-coding RNA is filed under the name Brachypodium distachyon (stiff brome). Its description in RNAcentral is "long non-coding RNA (BDIS_LNC004637)". Lineage: Eukaryota; Viridiplantae; Streptophyta; Magnoliopsida; Poales; Poaceae. The record is from RNAcentral.